Spea bombifrons (plains spadefoot toad) is the source of this 485-nucleotide long non-coding RNA. RefSeq lists it as uncharacterized. The transcript has 2 exons. The record is from RefSeq and is a predicted model, not a curated record. Lineage: Eukaryota; Metazoa; Chordata; Amphibia; Anura; Pelobatidae.
UUCAAAUGUCGUAUCACAAGAACACAAUAGAGUCACAAUAUACCUCGCUAGCAUAUACAUAGAUCAUAAUGUAAAGUUUGUUAGCACACCUUAGUGCUGAUAAUAUCUGUUUUACCUAGUAUUAAAAAUUAGUCAGUGGGAUGAUUGUGUAUAGAUCAAAACUAUAUGGUAACAUUUGGUAUUCACCAAGAAAGGGGCAUGUUGGACACCCCUGUCUUAGUAUAUAUACUACAAAAAUGAUGAAACAAAUAAUGUAGAAUUUCUUCCAAUAGAUGUGCUAAUGGAAAUGAUAUAUAUACAGUAUAUGUGUAAAUAUGGUGUUUUUAAGCAAUAUAUUGCUAUGUAUGUGGUCAUAUACAUUUUGUAUUUAUCAUAACCAAAUUAUCCCAGCACUUGCGUAGCAUAAGCCCGUUUGUAUAUGGGUGCAAUGCAUGGACAUACAAGAUUGUUUAUAAAGGCAAUUAAAAUUCAGAUGUUUACAUUUA